UACGUAGGUGGCAAGCGUUGUCCGGAUUUACUGGGUGUAAAGGGCGUGCAGCCGGGCUGACAAGUCAGAUGUGAAAUCCCGCGGCUCAACCGCGGAACUGCAUUUGAAACUGUCAGUCUUGAGUACCGGAGAGGUCAUCGGAAUUCCUUGUGUAGUGGUGAAAUGCGUAGAUAUUAGGAGGAACACCAGUGGCGAAGGCGGCUUGCUGGACGAUGACUGACGUUGAGGCUCGAAAGCGUGGGGAGCAAACAGG
Molecule: ribosomal RNA, 253 nt
Filed under: uncultured bacterium
Lineage: Bacteria
Description: partial 16S ribosomal RNA
Rfam family: Bacterial small subunit ribosomal RNA
Source: RNAcentral